Molecule: transfer RNA, 64 nt
Filed under: Selenophorus alternans
Lineage: Eukaryota; Metazoa; Arthropoda; Insecta; Coleoptera; Carabidae
Also listed under: 1 other name
Description: tRNA-Ala
Source: RNAcentral
AGGAUGAUAGUUAAAUAAUAACAUUUGAUUUGCAUUCAAAAAUAGCUAAAUAUUGGCUCAUCUU